This 487-nucleotide ribosomal RNA is filed under the name Dondersia festiva. Its description in RNAcentral is "partial large subunit ribosomal RNA". It matches the Rfam family "Bacterial large subunit ribosomal RNA", at positions 1811 to 2607 of the family's 2925-position model. Lineage: Eukaryota; Metazoa; Mollusca; Solenogastres; Pholidoskepia; Dondersiidae. The record is from RNAcentral.
AAACAUUGCUCUUUGCUUUUAUAUAAAGAGUCAGGCCUGCCCAGUGGAGAAAUCUAAACGGCCGCAGAAUUUUAACUGUGCUAAGGUAGCAUAAUCAUUUGUCUUUUAAUUAAAGACUGGUAUGAACGGUUUAACGAAACUAAGCUGUCUCUUUUAUACUAAAUAAAAAUUAUUCUUAAAGUGAAAAAACUUUAAUAAAAUAAAAAGACAAAAAGACCCUAUAGAGUUUAACUUAAAAAUUUUUAACAAAUCAAUAAGUUUAGUUGGGGCAACUAGAGAAAAAUAAAUUUUCUUAUUGACAAUAAAGCUAUACUAUCAUUAAUUUAAUAAUACAAAAUAAAUUACCUUAGGGGUAACAGCGUAAAUUUCUUAAAGAGCCCAAAUCGAAAAGAAAAAUUACGACCUCGAUGUUGGAUUAGAGAAACAUAAAAUAGAAAAAGAUUUUAAUGGUAGUCUUCGUUCGACUAAUAAUUCUCUACAUGAUCUG